Long non-coding RNA from Cyprinus carpio carpio, 2061 nucleotides. The record is from Ensembl. NCBI's taxonomy places the organism in Eukaryota, Metazoa, Chordata, Actinopteri, Cypriniformes, Cyprinidae.
CUGUUUCUAGGUGUAAGAAAAUGAAUUACUUCAUGAAUUGUGUGUUAGUAGUCAAGAAAAACUGUAAGUAAUCAUGAAUGUUAAAAAGCUUUCUGUGUACCAGAUAAUUAAAAGUACAUUUUAUUUAUGAUUUUAAAUUUAUGAAACAAGUUAGACUUACCACAGUUACCACAUGGGAGGCCAAUGCAAUGAAUUCAAGGGAUGAGUGGUUGUUAUAACUUUCACUGAAAGUUUCAUUUAGACUGUAUCUUAAGUGUAUGCUUCCCUCGUCAAGGGUAGGAGGAUCAGUAUUUGUGCCCUCUGUUGUUGGUGCUACAGUGGUGAACACAUAUGAGGUAUGAGCCUCUGUUACUGGCUUUACUGACGUUAGUGUUGUUGUUGUUGUCGACAUUGUUGUAUAUACAGUUGUAGAAUUGAAUACAGUAGAUGAACCCUUAGCUAGAGUAGUUUUGGUUGAUUCUGGUUUAUUUCUAACAGUUGCUGCUGCUGUUGUCCUUGAUGCAAUUGCUGGCAAUGCUGAUGUCAAUGGAACAAAGGUUGAAGCUUUUGGUGCAGUAGCAGACUUUACUAAGCUUGUUGUUGAUGUUGUAAUUGUAUCUACUGCCACAGAAUGUAUCACAGUAGAUGAAACCUGAGCUAUUGUAGUCUUGGUUGAUUCUGGUUCAUUGCUAAUGGUUGCUGCUGUGGUCGUGCCCGAUGCAGUUGCUGGCAAUGCUGAUGUCACUGGUAAAAAUGUAGAAGCUUUGGGUGUAGUAGCCGACUCUACUAAGCCUGUUGUUGUUGUCACUGUAUUUUCUGUUGUAGUUAUCCUGAUUGUUUUCUGUUCAUUGCUAACAGUUGCUGAUGUGGUUUUGUCCAGUGCAGUUGCAUGCAAAGCUGAUGUUACUGGUGCAAAUGUAGAAGUUCUUGCUGUAGUAGCAGACACUAUUCGGCCUGUUGUUGUUGUCACUGUAUUUCCAGUUGUAGCUAUCCUGAUUGUUUCCGGUUCAUUGCUAACAGUUGCUGAUGUGGUUGUGCCCAAUGCAGUUGCUGGCAAUGCUGAUGUCACCGGUGCAAAUGUAGAAGCUUUGGGUGUAGAAGCAGACUCUACUAGGCCUGUUGUCAUUGUCACUGUAUCUUCUGUUGUAGUUAUCCUGAUUGUUUCUGGCUCAUUGCUAACAGUUGCUGAUGUGGUUAUGCCCAAUGCAGUUGCUGGCAAUGCUGAUGUCACCGGUACCAAGGUAGAAGCUUUGGGUGUAGUAGCAGACUCUACUAGGCCUGUUGUUGUUGACACUGUAUUUUCUGUUGCAGUUAUCCUGAUUGUUUCCGGUUCAUUGUUAACAAUUGCUGAUGUGGCUGUGCCCAAUGCAGUUGCUGGCAAGGCUGAUGUCACUUGUAGAAAUGUAGAAGCUUUGGGUGUAGUAGCCGAAUCUACUAGGCCUGUUGUUGUUGUCACUGUAUUUCCUGUUGUAGCUAUCCUGAUUGUUUCCGGUUCAUUGCUAACAGUUGCUGAUGUGGUUGUGCCCAAUGCAGUUGCUGGCAAAACUGAUGUUACCGGUGCAAAUGUAGAAGUUUUUGCUGUAGAAGCAGACACUAUUCGGCCUGUUGAUGUUGUCACUGUAUUUUCUGUUGUAGUUAUACUGAUUGUUUCCGGUACAUUGCUAACAGUUGCUGAUGUGGUUGUGCCCAAUGCAGUUGCUGGCAAAGCUGAUGUCACUGGUAAAAAUGUAGAAGCUUUGGGUCUAGUAGCAGACUCUACUAGACCUGUUGUUGUUGUCACUGUAUCUUCUGUUGUAGUUAUCCUGAUAGUUUCUGGCUCAUUGCUAACAGUUGCUGGUGUGGUUGUGCCCAAUGCAGUUGCUGGCAAUGCUGAUUUCACCGGUACCAAGGUAGAAGCUUUGGGUGUAGUAGCAGACUCUACUAGGCCUGUUGUUGUUGUCUCUGUAUUUUCUGUUGCAGUUAUCCUGAUUGUUUCCAGUCCAUUGCUAACAGUUGCUGAUGUGGUUGUGCCCAAUGCAGAUGCUGGCAAAGCUGAUGUUACUGGUGCAAAUGUAGAAGUUUUUGCUGUAGUAGCAGACACUA